RNAcentral lists this long non-coding RNA (217 nucleotides) under Homo sapiens (human). RNAcentral describes it as "non-protein coding lnc-PPP4R3C-9:1". Lineage: Eukaryota; Metazoa; Chordata; Mammalia; Primates; Hominidae. The record is from RNAcentral.
GAUACACAAAUGCAAAUCAUUAUGGAGAAUUUCCAUUUGGUAUCUAAGAGAGAUGAAAAUGUUUGCAAUUUCCUAGAAGGAGGAUUAUUAAUAGGAGGAUGUGACAACAAACUAAUUUAUAGACAUUAUUCAACAUUAUAUUUUCUCUUCUGUGUGGAUUCUUCAGAAAGUAAACUUGGCAUUUUUAGAUCUAAUUCAAAACAAAGUCAGUUGACUA